Molecule: long non-coding RNA, 931 nt
Filed under: Prunus dulcis (almond)
Lineage: Eukaryota; Viridiplantae; Streptophyta; Magnoliopsida; Rosales; Rosaceae
Description: sRNA ncRNA
Source: RNAcentral
AAAAAAAGAUAUUUCCUCUGCAUUUUUCUCUGCUUCACUACCACAACCCAUCCGAAUCUCUCAAAAGCACACUCACUUUCUUUCUUUCUCUUCUCAGUUUCCCCAGAGAAAGAGAGUUCAGCUGCAUCCUCCUCUGUUUUCCCCUGUUUCUCAGUCUCCCAAUCUCCCUCUCUCCUCUGUUUCUCAGUCUCUGCUUUCCUCUGUUCCAAGCUCAUACUCUAUUUACCCCUCAUAUCCUUCGUGCCCGAUUCGAAGAAGAUGGAAACCCCAGGUUCAAAAUCUAAGCUCAACCCAAGUCAAAGCUUACCUCCCAAAAGGGGACAGAUAAAGAUCAGGAUAAUCAAGGGACUGGUCAAGUCUCUGUCUUCCUUGGUUGGUGGCGGAGGUCGUAGGCCGAGAGAAGAUGGAGGAUUCCUGAGCUCCAAUUCACAUACCCCAGCUCAAACCCCAAGUGGGUUUUGCUCAGGAGCUCAAUCCGAUGGCUCUGGACCCCUCAGCUAGCUGAAUUGAGGUUCUUCUUAGAAACCCCUCUGAUGUUAAUUAUAGCCUUACACAUAACCUUUGUUCAUUUUUUAAUUUAUUUGGUCUUCGAGUUUUUGGGAUGUGAGGUGCUGGUCGAGGAGUCUGGGUUUCAAGAUUGAAAUUUGGGGAACUGGGUAGCUUUGUUGGUGUUCCUAUACCUUUGCAGAAGUGAUGUAGGCCAUUGGAGGGUUUUGUUUUACUGUUGCAGAAAUGUAAAAUUUGGUUUUUUUUUUUUUUUUUUUCGUUCGUAUAUAAAUUAAUUUCUUGUAUUUAUGUGUGAGAUUUGUGUUGAUUUCGUACGUUUGGAGUUGGAUCCGAGCAUUAAUUUCAUGUUGGUUUCAGAACGAGGCACGGUAGCUUUCCUUUUUAACAGUGAAACUCAAAACCAAUAAUUUACUUGUUAUUUGGU